Camellia sinensis is the source of this 804-nucleotide non-coding RNA. Lineage: Eukaryota; Viridiplantae; Streptophyta; Magnoliopsida; Ericales; Theaceae. The record is from RefSeq and is a predicted model, not a curated record.
CAUUGGUUCAAUAGAUUUCUAGAUGCAAGCCUUCGUCGAUCAUUCUCACUUUCUAAGGAAUAGUUUUCUUUCUUUCUUAUUCAUUGGGGUUAUCAUGGAGGUAUCUGAAUCUUAUAGUCGAAUCAAAUAGGGUGUCUACAGGAUGGUUGCACAACAGAAGUUCAGAGACGGAAAUCUGGUUCUUUGAAGAAGAAGUACAAUAGCUGCUGGUUCUAAAGUGGCUGUGAGAAUGGAUAUGUUGCUGGUGGAAGGUUUUGGGCGGAGGUGGGCUUGUGCGCGAGGGGCUUUUAGACAGUUGUUGUAUUCCCAGACUACUCUGUGUCAGUCAGUGCACAGUCUCAGCCGCUUUGGGGGGUAGAGAUUUCUGGUCAGUCUCGCUAGAGCUGUGCAAAGAAUAUAUGUUGCUAAUGAAAUGCCAAUUGCAGCGGCAAUGAGAUGCCAGAUUGAAGCACAGAAAAGAUUGUAGGAGUGACUUGAGGUACAAAAGAAGGUGCAGAUGAGAAUAGAGUCACAAGGGAUGUACUUGCAAUCAAUAUUAGAGACAAGCUCAAAAGAGCCUAACACUUGACAUCAACUGCCUAUCAGUCUUGAGUCAACUCACCAACAUCGAUUUGUCUGAGUCAAAAUCUUAUGGAGAAUAGUAACUAUUCAAAUUUUAGCUUUCGUGUGUUAUCAUGAAUCAAUAGGAUUAACCAUUAGCAAUCUGAAUUUAUAAGUCUUUAUCAACCAUGGUUUAAAUCAAAUCCAUGUAUCAUUCAUCAUGAAUUCAAUCAGUCUGCAUAACUUUUUCUUCCUUUACUUUCU